AGAGAAAAAUAAGGAUGCAGAUAUCUGGAAUGACCAGUAACUAAAAUGCUCAUCACUAUCCCGCUGGUCCAGAGUCCUAUACUCUCAUACUUGUUGGUGUGUUCUCAUCAAUCUCUUUGAUGUAUUCUAAAGACUCUUGCAAAGAAAAUUGGAGCAAGUUUGUUUGGAAAAGUGACUUUCUUGAUUUGCUUUCCUUACUUCCUCAGUCACUUUGUAGGAAGCAGGAGAAAUCACUCCAAACAUCUAAAAUGACCAGCUACUUGCCAAGAGUGACAUUGCCUAAGCAGGUGUGAUUGGAAAGUGAUACUUGGCUCUGGUUUAAAGAUAGAUGGGGUUGGAUGGUGAACUGCAAGCUGAGGGGUAAGCCUGAAAAUAAAAUACUUUCUUAUCUCAGUUAAAAUAAUGGAUAGCUAUAUUACAUAAGGAAUUUUCAGAGUGGUCGGAAGGUGAGCAGCAAACUCUGGGUUGAGCUUGGUCAUAGAAUUUUAGACAAUCCUUUCCUAAUGUAUGUUUGAUAUCUCAGUGACAAAGGGUAGGCAGUUAGAUUGAAAAGGAAUGUCUAGAGUUUCCCCCUAUCCACACCACUACUCUGCUCUUGGAUAUGGCUCACCUUUUCUUCCUCUGGUUGGAUCUUCUCAGCAGACCUGAGUUUUUUUGGAAGUAGUGUAAAAUAUUCUAUCUUAUCCUGGAGAUCCUGGCUCUUAUCCUCAGGUUCACUCCCAACAUAUUCUUCCUAAUCAUGGAAGUUCAAAUAUAAGGGCUUACUUGAGACUUAAAAUAUUCAAACCUAUUGACCUGAAUCCCAGAAGGACUCUGCAUGUCUUUGGCCCUUCUCAAUAAUCUGUUUGACCUCUUCCACAAAGUCUUGUAAAGACAACUGUAGUGAAUUUGGUGAGAAAGCUCACUGGCUUCUCCUUUUUUAAAAUUUUUUUAUUUCCUCCCUCAUAAAAGAGGAGUAAAUUUUAGUUCGUUCUGCACUUAACUCUAUUCCCUUGCUUUAAAGGUUUCACCUCCUAACAAUCCACCAAGGUCUGCCAUCAGACAGUCAGGUAGAAGGUGAGAAAAUGUUGUGCCAAGAAAAGGUAGUAUGGGGCUCCUAGAACGUGGAUAAUUUCAAAGCAUUCCUUCCAUGGGAAAAAUAAUGAACUUUUCCAAAUCAAGGGUGAUGUGAAAGUGAAAGCUGCCUUUGGUAGAAUAGGCAGGAUUGCAACUGAGAAGGAAGCCAGAGGAACAGGCUUGCUCAUGGAACUAUAAACCUUAAAGAAACAAUGCAGGACGGAUGCCUCUUUGAUAAAAUUGUAGAGGAUAGGUCCUAAAAAUGUCUUUGCACGUCUGGGCCACUUUUCCACCACUGAGCUCCUCUUUGUUCUGCUCAACUCUUGGCAGUCUUUCCAUGCUCUUUUCAGGAAAUCUAGGCUUUCUUGUAAGUGAGCCCUGUUGCAAUGUAUAAUAUUGCACCUUACUGGAAUAGGGUCUCCUUCCCAUCCCUGGGCUCAUUCAACCUAUCCUUCUCAUCUUCAGGGAAGUCAAAUCUCCAAACAUCUUAAAUGACCAACUACUUGCCAAGAGUACUUUGACUAAGCUGGUGUGAUUGGAAAGUGACACUUGGCUCUGGUUAGAAAAUAGGUAAGGUUGGGUGUUGAACAGCAAGCUGAGGGGUAAGCUUGCUUUUGGAACUGAAGAUUUUAAUUUCCUACUAAAAGGUGAUUUCAAUGAAAAAGGAUGGGGAACUAGAUUACAAAAGGAAUGAGCUAGAUCCCAAGAUUUCUAUGCAAAUCUGUCCAACUUCAGCACCACUGUGCUCCUCUUGGGUCUGCUCACCUCUUUCGGCAGUCAUUCCAUCUUGGCUUCAGGAUAAUUAGGCUUACUUAUAGGUGAGCUCUGUUGCAAUAUAUAUAAUACUGCAUCUUAUUGGAAUAGUAACUAGUCUUCAUCCCCAGGCUCAUUCAACCUACGCUUUUCAUCUUCAGGGAAAUUAAACCUCUAAACAUCUAAAAUGAUCAGCCACUUGCCAAAAGUAACUUUGCCUAUAGGGGUGAGACUGGAAUGUGACACCUUGGCUCUGGUCAGAAAAUGAGGAGGAUUUGAUGGUGAACAUAAAAAUGAGGGGUAACCAUUGGAAAUUUAGACCUUAUUUCUUGCUUUAAAAUGAUACUUCAGUGAAAAAUUAUGGGGAGCUAAAUUACAGAAGGAAUGAGCUAGAUGUCCCUUGCAGAUCUGUCCAAAUUCAGCACCACUGUGAUCCUCUUCUGCCUAUUCACUUCUUUUAGCAGUUUUUCCAUUAUGGUCUCAGGAUACCUAGCCUUUCUUGUAGGUGAGUCCUGUUGCAAUGGACAAUAUUGCACUUUAUUGGAAUAGGGUCUCCUUCCCAUCCCUGGGCUCAUUCAACCUACUCUUCUCAUCUUCAGGGAAGUCAAACCUCCAAACAUCUAAAAUGACCAGCCACUUGCCAGGCAAAGUGGAAAGUGACACUUGUCUCUAGUCAGAAAAUAUAGUUGGAUUGGAACCAAGUGGUUUUGGAAUUUUCGACUUUCAUUUGCUCCUGGGAGGUAAUACUUCAGUUAAAAAAUAUGAGCAGCUAGAUUAAAGAAGGUGCAGAGCUGUUCCCAAACUAUAAAAAUAUCACACUCUUGGAUAUGCUCACCUUUUUUUCUUUUGGUUGGAUGAUCUCAGGAGAAAUGAACUUUCUUUGAAUUGAGUCCUCAUACAAUGGAGGGUAUUGCUUUUCAUCCUGGAAUUCAUCCUUAGGUUGACUCCCAAUAUCUUCCUCCUAACUCAUUACGGAAGUCCAGACAUCAGCACUUAUCCAAGACUUAAUAUGCUGAAACCUAUUGGCCUGAAUCCCAGUAGGACUCUGCUUGUCUUUAGCUCUUCCCAACAUUCUCUUUGACCUCUUCUACAUGUAAAGACAUGUACAUCUACUUGUAAAGACAACUGGAGUGAAUAUGGUGGGAAAGCUGACUUUUUAAAAAUUUUCUCCCUCAAAAAAUAGUGAAUGUUGGUUGCCUCCUGCCUUCACUACAGGCCCUUGUUUUAAUUUUUUCACCUCUAAAAUAAUCAACCAAGCAACCCAUAAGCCCAUGUCAGGUAGGAGGUUAGAAAAGAUUAAGUAUUUGGGGGCUUCUAUUAGAGUAAUAUUUUUAAGAAUAUUUUUUCCCUUGGGAAAAACUUGAGUUUUAAUAAUCAAUGGGGACAUAUAUCUUAAAGUUGCCUUUGGAAGAAUAGAUGGAAUUGCAAUGUGAAAAAUAAACCAAAGAGUAGGCUUGGUCAUGUGAAUCUAGGCCUUAAUUAAACACUGUGGGACUGGUGGCUCUUUGAUAAAAUACUAGAGACUAGAUCCCAGAAUGUCUGUGCAGAUCUGUCCCACUUCCCUGCACUCUGCUUCUCUUUGGUCUGCUCACCUCGUCUGGCAGCCUUUUCAUCCUCUUCUCAGGAUAACUAGGCUUUCUUGUAGGUGAACUCUAUUGAAAUAGAUAUUACAUCUUAUUUAAUAGGGUCUGGUUCUCAUCUCUUGACUCAUUUAAUCUAUUCUUUUCUUCUUCAUGGAAAUCAAAGCUCCUAACAUCUAAAAUGACCUGACACCUAAAUUGCUUAGAACUAUCCCCAAGAAAUAGGUGUCUCACUUUAUCCUGUGAUUUGUUGAUAUGUUCUUACCAGUCUCUUUGAGGUAUUAUUUAAGUUCAUGAAAAGAAAACUGGAUAUACUUUGUUUGGAGAAGUGACUGUCUUGACUUGUUUUCCUUGCUUCCUCACUCACCUAGUAGGUAUAUAGUCUCCUUCCUUGUUCUGCCACCUCUUUAUCCUUUAGUUUCAAGUACUAAAACAGUCAAUUAAGCAAAUAAGUAGCCAUCCUAAAACAGGGGGUGCUAAUUUUGUGGAUAAAGUCCAGGUAGAUUGAGAUUUUUCUGAAAUAUCUAUUUUUAAAAGUGUUUUUCUGGAACUAAGUGGAAAAAAGUGACCUUUUCCUGAUCAAGGAUGACAUAAAAGUGAAACCCAUCACUGGCUGAAUAGGUAGGAUUGCAAUUUGACCACUAUACUGGAGGAACAUCCUUGGUCAUGGUAUUAUAGUCCUUAACUACACACACUGGAGGAUUGCUGCCUUUUUGAAAAAGGAGUGUAGUCUAGAUCCCAGAAUGAUUGUUUAGAUGUUUCUGCUCACCUCUUCCGGUUGCCUUGGGGUCUUCUUCUCAGGAUAUCGAGGCUUUCUUUUAGGUAAGCCCUGUUGUAAUGAGAAUACUGCUUUUUAUUAAAAUAUGGACUUAUUCAAAUAUGACAUGUUGGUGUGUUUUCAUCAAACCACUUUCAGGUAUUCUAAAAACUUUUGCAAAAACUGGAUUGAGUUUGUUUGGAGAAGUGACUGCCUUGAUUCAUUUUCCCUAGUUCCUCACUCACUGGUAGGAAGCAAGGAAUGUAGUAUCCUGCCCUUCUCUGCCACCAAGUUUUUCUUUAGUUCUCAGUUCCCAACCAAUUAUAAGCACAAGCAGUUAGCCAGCUUCAAAGAUGAGGUGCUUGAUUUUGAGAAUAAAAUUCAGGAAGAUUGGGCUUCCUCUAUAAUCUCUAUUUUUAAAAGUUUUCACUCUAAGGGAAAAUAGUGACUUUGCCUCAGUGAGUGUGACUGGAAAGUGUAACAGGUUUGGUCAGAAAACAGGUAUGAAUGGAAGGUGAGCAGCAAGCUCAGGGUUGAGAUUUUUAGACACUCCUUUCCUAAUGUAUGUUUGAUAUCUCAGUGACAAAGAGUGGGCAGUUAGAUUGAAAAGGAAUGUCUAGAGUUUCCCCCCAUCCACACCACUACUCUGCUCUUGGAUAUGGCUCACCUUUUUUUCCUUUGGUUGGAUCUUCUCAGCAGACCUGAGCUUUUUUGGAAGUAGUGUAAAAUAUUGUAUCUUAUCCUGGAGAUCCUGGCUCUUAUCCUCAGGUUCACUCCCAACAUAUUCCUCCUAAUCAUGGAAGUUCAAAUAUAAGGGCUUACUUGAGACUUAAAAUAUUCAAACCUAUUGACCUGAAUCCCAGAAGGACUCUGCAUGUCUUUGACCCUUCUCAACAAUCUGUUUGACCUCUUCCACAAAGUCUUGUAAAAGUGGUGAAUUUGGUGGGAAAACUGCCUGUCUUGACUUUUGUUUUUUACGAGUUCCUAACUCUCAUGUAGGAAGAAUGAGUUUAGGUGGCUUUCUGGUAUUCAUUCCUAUCCCCUUCUCUUUUGGUUUUCACCUCUUAGCCAACCAAGCAAAUAAUUAGACAAUAUUAGAUAGGAUGUGAGGAACAGGUUGUUCAAAGAUUCAGUAGUUGAGGGCUCUUGAUAUUUUUAAAAGCAGUAUUUCCAUUGGGGGAAAAUUGCCUUUCUCUAAUCUAAUGGAAGUGGACAUUGCCUUUUUAGAAUAGGUAGGAUUGCAAUCUGACCACUAUGCUUGAGGAACAAGCUUGGUCAUGGGAUUGUAGUCUUUACAUACUGGGAGACGGAUGCUUGUUUGAAAAAGGAUUGGAGGCAGAUCCCAUAAACUGUUUAGAUCUUCCUACUUCCGUACCACUGUGGUAUUUUUAGAUCUUUUCAGGAUAACUAGCCUUUCUUGUAGGUGAGAGCCCUUGUGAAAUGCAUAAUAUUGCAUUUUAUUCAAGAGUGUCUGUUUCUUAUCCUCUGACUCAUUGAAUCUAUCCUUCUAUUAUCCAGGGAAAAACAAAGGUCCAAGUCUCUGGAAUUUACUGCUGUCUAAUAUGCUCACAACUCUCACUCUGAGUCAGUCUCCCGUAUUUUAAACUGUUACUUCCUGGUAUCUUAUCAUCAAUUUCUCUGACCUUUUCUACAAACUCUUGCAAAGAAAAUCAGAGUUUCAUUGGAGAAGUGAAUGUUUUGUCUUUUGUUUUCCUCACUUCCUCAUUGACUUUGUGGGACUGAGAGUCAGUAGCUUCCUGCCGCUGCGCGUGAAUGCCGACACCAGGCCACAACCGCACCUCCCAUAACAACUGGCAUCCCAUGCCCCAUGUGCCACAAACUCUGUGCCUCAGCUUUUGGACUUCAAAGCCACAUGAGGGUACAUAAAUAGAUGAUAAUGCACAAAGACAAUAGUCAUUCUCAGUAACCGAGAGACUACCACUAUUAGCUUCCUGCCCUUUUUCUCUUUUGUUUUCUAGGUGUUUAACUACCAACAAAACAACCAGUUAACCAACUUCAUAAGUUUUAAAUGUGCUCCCUAUGAGGAGAAAAACAAAACCUAUGCCUCAGAGAGUGUGCCAUCUAAAAUGCUCACACCUAUAUCCCUGAACCAUAAUCCCAUACUUUGUUUUGUAAUCUCAUCCUGGAGUCUCUGCUUCAUUCAGUCUGUUCUCCUACUCAUUAUGGAAUAAAAUUCCAGAUAUCAGGAAUUACUUGUCACUUAAAAUGUUCAUAGCUAUUGCCCAGAGGCACAUCAUCCUUUUAUAUCUUGGCCUGUUCUUAUUUAUCUCUUUGACUUCUUCUACAGACUCUUCCAAAAGAAAUGAGAAGUCUAGUCUGAAGACCACUUUGAGUUUCUUAUGUAUUACUUUCUCACAUAGUGGAAAUGAUGUUAAGUAGCCUCUUGUUUUCCACUCCCACCCAUUUUUCCUUUGGUUUUCAGCUAUCGAACAUCCAACCAACUGACCAGUUAGCCAAUCUCAAAGAGGUUUCUUAAAACACAUGCAGCCCAUAUACAGUUGGCAGGAGCUCUUAUUAAAUCUGUAAUUUUCAAGGCACUCUCUACAUGGAUAAAGUGACCUUUCCUACAAACUCUUUAAAGGAAAUUGAUGUGUUUAGUUUCAAAAGCAACUGUCUUGACUUUUAUUUUCCUCAUUCACCUAAUAGGAACUUGGACCUUCUCUCUCAGCCACUUCUCCUUUAGUGUCCAAUUCGAAAAGAACCAAUCAACCAACUAGUAGUUAGACAACCUCAAAGUGGUGGUGUGAAAAGGUUCUCCCUAAGUUUAAGUAGAUUGGAGUCCCUAUUAAAUCUAUGUCUCUCAAAGUAUUCUCUAUCUGGGGAAAGAAAUGAGCUUUGUCUCAGUAAGUUUGACAUGAAACGGAAACCUGACUUUGGUGGGAAGGAUAGGUAGGAUUGGAAACCUAGUAGUGAGUUUUGUCAUAGUAUUUUAAAUGGUACUUACUUACUGUGGAGUUAUAUCUUUGUUAAAAAGGAUGGGUGGCUAGAUUAUAAAGUGAUUAACAAGAGCUGUCCCCCAUUCCCUAUGCCCCCACCAUUGUGGUGCCCUUGGGUCUGCUCACCUUUCCUGGCUGCUGUUGGAUCUUCUUCUCAGGUGCAUGGAGUUUUCUUGUAGGCGAGUCCUGUUGUGAUGGAUAAGAUUGCAUCUUAUCCUUGAAGUCUCUGGUUCUUAUCCUCAGGCUCAUUCAAUCUGUCCUUCUACUCAUCAUUGAAGAACAAAGCCUAAGACAUUAGGAACUACCUCCCACCUAUAAUGCUCACAUUUAUUCGUCUGAGUCACAGUUCCACAUUUCAUCAUGUGAUGUCUUGGACUAUUCUCAACAAUCUCUUUGACCUUUUCAACAAACUCUGGCAAAGAAUAUUUGAGUGAGUUUUGUGGCAAUAAUGACUAUUCUUUUUUCUUAUUUCCUCACUCAUCUAAUAGGGAGAAAUGGUAUAUAGCCUACUGCCCCUGAUCUCCCACCUAUUUUCCCCUUGUUUUCCAUCUAUAAAACAUUUAGUCAACCAAACAUUUAGAAAAUCUCAAAGAGGUUUGAAGGUGAUGCCAAGGUCCAGGUGGCUUUUAGAGUUCUUAUUAAAUCUAUAUUUUUAAAUACACUCUAUACAUGGAGAAAGAAGUGAGCUUUGCCUCAAUGAGUGUGACAUGAAAAUGAAACCCCGUUUUUUUAGAAGGAUAGACAGGUUUUCAUGUUGGUCAGGAAGCCUAGAAGAAAGCAUGGUCAAAGGAUUUUAGGCUUUAGUUACUUACUGGGGCUCUCUGUAACAAUUGAUGGGUGGCUAAACUAUAGAAUGUGUGUUCAGAGUUGUUUCCCUUCCCCAUAAUUCUAAUGCUCUUAGGUCUGCUCACUUUUUCUGCCUGCUCUUGGAUCUUCUCAGCAGAACUGAGCUUUCUUAUAGGUGAGUCCUGUUGCAAUGGAUAAAAUUGCAUAUUUGCCUGGCAACUCUUUUAAUCUGUGCUUCUCCUGUUUGUCACUGAAGAACAAAGCCCCAGAUAUCAUGAAUUAUCUUCCCCCCUAAAAAGCUCAAACCUAUGACAGUCUGAGUCCCACACUUCAUCCUGUAAUGUCUUGACCUAUUCUCAUUAAUUUCAUUGACCUUUUUUACAAAUUCUUAUAAAGGGAAUUGGUGUGUUUGGUCCAAAAGUGAUUGUCUUGACUUUAUUUUUUCUCAAUUCCUAACUCACUUAGUAGGGAUAUGAAUAGGUAACCUCCUGCACUCCUCACCUACCUAUUUCUUCUUUAGUGUCUAUCUCUUAUACAAUCAAUCCAACAAACAAACAGUUUGCCAAUAUCAAAUAAGAGCUGGGGAAAGGUGGUGCUAAGGCUCAGGUAAAUUGGAGUUCCUAUUAAAUCUGAUUUUUCAAAGCACUCCAUACUUGGAAAAAGAAGUGAUUUCUGUCUCAGUGAGUGUGACAUGAAAGUGAAACCUGGCUUUGGUAGGAGGAUAAGGAGGGCUGGCUGCUGACCAACAAGUUCAGUAUUGACUGUGGUCAUCAGAUUUUGGCCAUUAAUUUUUUACUGGUGAGUGAUAACUGUGUGACAAAGUAUAGGUGGCUGGAUUACAAAAUGACUGUCCAAAACUGUCCUCUUUCUUUCCCACUCUGGUGCUUUUGUGACUGCUGUUGCAUCUUCUUAGGUGCCUGGAGCUUUCUUAUAGGUGAAUCACGUUGGGAUGGAUAAUUUUGCAUCUUAUCCUGGAGUCUCUGGUUCUCAUCCGCAGGCUCAUUCAACCUGUCCUCCUAAUCAUCAUUGAAGAACAAAAUCCCAGAUAUCUGGAAUUGCCUGUCAACUAAAAUAUUCAUACCUAAUGCCCUGCGCCACUGUCCCACAUUUUAUUUUGGCAUGUCUUAGUCUGUUGUCAUUAAUCUCUUUGACCUCUUCUACAAACUCCUGAAGAGAUCAUUUGAGUGAGUUUGGUUGGAACACCAACCAUCUUGACUCCCCCCCCCCCGAAAGAAAGUGGGUACUUAGCCUUCUGCCUGCCAAUCUCACCCAUUUUCCUUUUGAUUUCUAAUUAUAAAAUAUCCAACCAACCAGGUAGCUAUCCUCAAAAAGGAAGGGGAGAAAGGUGGUCCUAAGGUCCAAGUUGUUGGGGGCUCCUAUUAAAAAUAUUUUUUAAAGUGCUCCAUACUUAGAAAAAGUGACCUUUGUUUCAAUGAGUGUGACAUGAAAGUGACAUCUGGAUUUCAUAGUGGGAUAAGGAGGGCUGGUUGCUGACCAACACGCUCAGAAUUGACUAUGGUCAUCAGAUCUGGGGCAUUAGUUAUUUACUGGUGAGUGAUAACUGUGUGACAAAGGAUGAGUGGCUAGAUUACAGAGUGAUAACUGUGUGACAAAGGAUGAGUGGC
This is a non-coding RNA of Monodelphis domestica (gray short-tailed opossum), 9514 nucleotides long. The record is from RefSeq and is a predicted model, not a curated record. NCBI's taxonomy places the organism in Eukaryota, Metazoa, Chordata, Mammalia, Didelphimorphia, Didelphidae.